CCUACGGGAGGCAGCAGUGGGGAAUAUUGGACAAUGGGCGCAAGCCUGAUCCAGCCAUGCCGCGUGAGUGAUGAAGGCCUUAGGGUUGUAAAGCUCUUUUAUCCGGGACGAUAAUGACGGUACCGGAGGAAUAAGCCCCGGCUAACUCCGUGCCAGCAGCCGCGGU
RNAcentral lists this ribosomal RNA (166 nucleotides) under uncultured Methylobacterium sp. Its description in RNAcentral is "partial 16S ribosomal RNA". It matches the Rfam family "Bacterial small subunit ribosomal RNA", at positions 338 to 521 of the family's 1533-position model. The record is from RNAcentral. Lineage: Bacteria; Pseudomonadati; Pseudomonadota; Alphaproteobacteria; Hyphomicrobiales; Methylobacteriaceae.